CAGCACCGCGGUAAUACGUAGGGUGCAAGCGUUAUCCGGAAUUAUUGGGCGUAAAGAGCUCGUAGGCGGUUUGUCGCGUCUGCUGUGAAAACUGGAGGCUCAACCUCCAGCCUGCAGUGGGUACGGGCAGACUAGAGUGCGGUAGGGGAGAUUGGAAUUCCUGGUGUAGCGGUGGAAUGCGCAGAUAUCAGGAGGAGCACCGAUGGCGAAGGCAGAUCUCUGGGUCGUAACUGACGCUGAGGAGCGAAAGCAUGGGGAGCGAACAGGAUUAGAUACCCCUGUAGUCCCUGUCUCUUAUACA
Molecule: ribosomal RNA, 301 nt
Filed under: uncultured bacterium
Lineage: Bacteria
Description: partial 16S ribosomal RNA
Rfam family: Bacterial small subunit ribosomal RNA
Source: RNAcentral